CAGCCGCCGCGGUAAAACGGAGGGUGCAAGCGUUAAUCGGAAUUAUUGGGCGUAAAGGGUGCGUAGGCGGCCCCGCAAGUCUCAUGUGAAAUCUUCAGGCUCAACUUGAAGUCUGCAUGGGAAACUGCGGGGCUGGAGUAUGGGAGAGGUGAGUGGAAUUCCUGGUGUAGCGGUGAAAUGCGUAGAUAUCAGGAGGAACACCUGUGGCGAAAGCGGCUCACUGGACCAUAACUGACGCUGAGGCACGAAAGUUAGGGGAGCAAACAGGAUUAGAUACCCCCGUAGUCCCUGUCUCUUAUAC
RNAcentral lists this ribosomal RNA (301 nucleotides) under uncultured bacterium. RNAcentral describes it as "partial 16S ribosomal RNA". It matches the Rfam family "Bacterial small subunit ribosomal RNA", at positions 509 to 807 of the family's 1533-position model. The record is from RNAcentral.